Molecule: ribosomal RNA, 460 nt
Filed under: uncultured bacterium
Lineage: Bacteria
Description: partial 16S ribosomal RNA
Rfam family: Bacterial small subunit ribosomal RNA
Source: RNAcentral
CCUACGGGCGGCAGCAGUGAGGAAUAUUGGUCAAUGGACGAGAGUCUGAACCAGCCAAGUAGCGUGAAGGAUGACUGCCCUAUGGGUUGUAAACUUCUUUUAUAUGGGAAUAAAAUGUUCCACGUGUGGGAUUUUGUAUGUACCAUAUGAAUAAGGAUCGGCUAACUCCGUGCCAGCAGCCGCGGUAAUACGGAGGAUCCGAGCGUUAUCCGGAUUUAUUGGGUUUAAAGGGAGCGUAGGUGGAUUGUUAAGUCAGUUGUGAAAGUUUGCGGCUCAACCGUAAAAUUGCAGUUGAAACUGGCAGUCUUGAGUACAGUAGAGGUGGGCGGAAUUCGUGGUGUAGCGGUGAAAUGCUUAGAUAUCACGAAGAACUCCGAUUGCGAAGGCAGCUCACUGGACUGCAACUGACACUGAGGCUCGAAAGCGUGGGUAUCGAACAGGAUUAGACACCCUUGUAGUC